GGGCCCAUAGCUCAGUCGGUAGAGCAGCGGCCUUUUAAGCCGUUGGUCGCGAGUUCGAAUCUCGCUGGGCUCA
This 73-nucleotide transfer RNA is filed under the name Myxococcota bacterium. RNAcentral's name for it is "tRNA-Lys". It matches the Rfam family "tRNA". Rfam says of the family: Transfer RNA (tRNA) molecules are approximately 80 nucleotides in length. Their secondary structure includes four short double-helical elements and three loops (D, anti-codon, and T loops). The record is from RNAcentral. Lineage: Bacteria; Pseudomonadati; Myxococcota.